Molecule: ribosomal RNA, 497 nt
Filed under: uncultured bacterium
Lineage: Bacteria
Description: partial 16S ribosomal RNA
Rfam family: Bacterial small subunit ribosomal RNA
Source: RNAcentral
GAUGAACGCUGGCGGCGUGCCUAAUACAUGCAAGUCGAGCGAACGGACGAGAAGCUUGCUUCUCUGAUGUUAGCGGCGGACGGGUGAGUAACACGUGGAUAACCUACCUAUAAGACUGGGAUAACUUCGGGAAACCGGAGCUAAUACCGGAUAAUAUUUUGAACCGCAUGGUUCAAAAGUAAAAGACGGUCUUGCUGUCACUUAUAGAUGGAUCCGCGCUGCAUUAGCUAGUUGGUAAGGUAACGGCUAACCAAGGCAACGAUGCAUAGCCGACCUGAGAGGGUGAUCGGCCACACUGGAACUGAGACACGGUCCAGACUCCUACGGGAGGCAGCAGUAGGGAAUCUUCCGCAAUGGGCGAAAGCCUGACGGAGCAACGCCGCGUGAGUGAUGAAGGUCUUCGGAUCGUAAAACUCUGUUAUUAGGGAAGAACAUAUGUGUAAGUAACUGUGCACAUCUUGACGGUACCUAAUCAGAAAGCCACGGCUAACUACGUG